RNAcentral lists this ribosomal RNA (466 nucleotides) under uncultured bacterium. Its description in RNAcentral is "partial 16S ribosomal RNA". It matches the Rfam family "Bacterial small subunit ribosomal RNA", at positions 28 to 507 of the family's 1533-position model. The record is from RNAcentral.
GAUGAACGCUGGCGGCGUGCUUAACACAUGCAAGUCGAACGGAAAGGCUCCUGCUUGCAGGGGUACUCGAGUGGCGAACGGGUGAGUAACACGUGGGUGAUCUGCCCUGCACUUCGGGAUAAGCUUGGGAAACUGGGUCUAAUACCGGAUAGGACCGCAUUUUGGAUGGUGUGGUGGAAAGUUUUUUCGGUGUGGGAUGAGCUCGCGGCCUAUCAGCUUGUUGGUGGGGUAAUGGCAUACCAAGGCGUCGACGGGUAGCCGGCCUGAGAGGGUGUACGGCCACAUUGGGACUGAGAUACGGCCCAGACUCCUACGGGAGGCAGCAGUGGGGAAUAUUGCACAAUGGGCGCAAGCCUGAUGCAGCGACGCCGCGUGGGGGAUGACGGCCUUCGGGUUGUAAACUCCUUUCGCUAGGGACGAAGAGUAAUUGACGGUACCUGGAGAAGAAGCACCGGCUAACUACGUG